GUGAAUCAUCGAAUUUUUGAACGCAAAUUGCACUCUCCUCGGAGAGUAUGCCUGUUUGAGGUUCAGCCUCUAAAAAAUCGACAUCGUUGCUGUUUCACGGUGACGUUCGUCGGAAAUUGGGUCAUCUUACAUCUUUUGGGAUUAGGCGGCUUGCGAUUUUAUUUUUGAUUCCAUGAAAGUUUUUGUAAGAUAUAUUUCUUUACACGUUUAAGGUAUCGAUUUUUAUUAGACGUGACCCUCAUAUGGGAUCUCGUCCAUAAUAUUUCAUUCACUG
RNAcentral lists this unclassified non-coding RNA (274 nucleotides) under Glomus sp. RNAcentral's name for it is "partial contains 5.8S ribosomal RNA and internal transcribed spacer 2". The stretch from base 1 to 65 matches the Rfam family "5.8S ribosomal RNA", at positions 84 to 154 of the family's 154-position model. The record is from RNAcentral. Lineage: Eukaryota; Fungi; Glomeromycota; Glomeromycetes; Glomerales; Glomeraceae.